UUACGUGUCCAACUUUCCCUCUGUCUAAAAAAAAUCAAACCCUGGGUUUACGUGUCCAACUUUGACUAUCCGUCUUAUAUGAAAUUUUUUUAUAAUUCGUAUUUUUAUUAUUGUUAGAUGAUAAAACAUGAUUAAUAUUUUAUGCGUGACUUGUCUUUUUAAUUUUUUUUAUAAUUUUUUUAAAUAAGACGGACGGUCAAACGUUGGACAUGGAAACCAGGGUUUGUCUUUUUUUUUUUACGGAGAGAGUAUGUUCGAUG
This 260-nucleotide unclassified non-coding RNA is filed under the name Oryza sativa (Asian cultivated rice). Its description in RNAcentral is "partial microRNA MIR438d-2 precursor". The stretch from base 29 to 233 matches the Rfam family "MIR812 microRNA precursor family". Lineage: Eukaryota; Viridiplantae; Streptophyta; Magnoliopsida; Poales; Poaceae. The record is from RNAcentral.